This 253-nucleotide ribosomal RNA is filed under the name uncultured bacterium. RNAcentral describes it as "partial 16S ribosomal RNA". It matches the Rfam family "Bacterial small subunit ribosomal RNA", at positions 524 to 776 of the family's 1533-position model. The record is from RNAcentral.
UACGUAGGGUGCAAGCGUUGUCCGGAAUUAUUGGGCGUAAAGAGCUCGUAGGCGGCUUGUCGCGUCGAUUGUGAAAACCCAGGGCUCAACCCUGGGCCUGCGUUCGAUACGGGCAAGCUAGAGUAUGGCAGGGGAGACUGGAAUUCCUGGUGUAGCGGUGAAAUGCGCAGAUAUCAGGAGGAACACCGGUGGCGAAGGCGGGUCUCUGGGCCAUUACUGACGCUGAGGAGCGAAAGCGUGGGGAGCGAACAGG